GUCUAUUUCUGAAGUCUGUCACAGACAGGCUGCCAUAACGCCCUUUCCUGGUUAGUGUCACCAUAUAGUGAAAUCUUCCCCAUUCAGACAAUCCCCGAAUUGGUCAACCCCUGAGUGUGUGAAAAGGCUGAACUCCCUGCUUUCUCUCUUCUGUAUACAUUUACUAAUCUGUACGCAGGAGUGACAUUGAGAAAAUACAUACACAGAGAAAAGAGCUUACAAGUAUGACGAAUAACUGGNNNNNNNNNNNNNNNNNNNNNCUGCAUGUCUCUGAAAGUAAGAAAUACUGUAAGAGAAAGAGCAAACAACAACAGAAGUGGAGAUUUUGACAGCAGGAAGAUAACGGGAGGAAGUCAUCUGACCAUCAGUUAAAAACCAGUAAGGUAUGGUGGGGUCUGACUCUCUUUCAAAACAGAGGCUAGAUGGAGGAGUGGUUUGAAGGGACUUGCAGAGAAAACACAAAUCUUAAAUUAUUCAGAUUAGUUACUGUUGAUUAACCCGGAUCCCUUCAAAUAUGCUCUCUAAAGAGUUUGGAUACAUUCACUAUUAUAUAUGGAGUUUAUACAAAGCGGUUUUGUAGAAUGUUUGACAAAUUUACAUCAGGGCCUUAUUACACUAAGCAUAGCAGAAACUGCCAGAAAGGGUUUUAUCUUCCAACAUAACAGCACGUCAACAGUCGACAGGCCCAUUUCGGGGUUGUAGAGUCCCAGAGACUGAGGCAAAAUGAGGAGUGAUUCCAAGCAGACCGGCCACCAGAAAGAGCCCAUGCCGGUGGCGGCUGGCAGCCUGGCCUCCAACACACGGCUCAGCCCGGUGCGGUUGUUCUUUUCAGCGGUAUUUUCAGAAAACGAAGGGCUGGCAUUUGUAAACACGCUGCCUGGGUGGAAAGAUGCCCAUGCACUAAGAAAGCUGGAAAAACCCAUGCAGGACACUGUGCCAGAACAAACCACGAGACCACAACAAAUGAAAGCAGGGCCCGAAGGACAGCCGGCAACACUCUUAAAUCAUGAGCGCCCGGAAGGCUACUGGCUGUAAAGCAGAGCCACUUGCAGCUGAGGUGCUAGGAGACCAUCCUGCUCACCACAGGUGAGGCCAGACUGAAAAAAACUACAUGAGUCCUCGUGGUGAGGCAGCCUCCAAACUGGUUUCCUCCUCCUCACACUCUCUUCUCCACGAGCGAAUCUACCCAUUAGGUCGAUGUCCUUCAAACACCGUCCUCGCAUCUCCAGGUCGAGCACAUACAUGUAAUGUGAUUCUUCCUCACCUGAGCCUGACUCAUGUUCUUGGCUCAGUGGGCAAUGCAAGGCGAGUGCCCUGGCUUCUCCCUAGCAUGUUCCUGGCUCCUUGUCAGAACUCACAAAGUAUGAAUUGGGUUUCCCUGGUGGCUCAGAUGGUAAAGAAUCUGCCUGCAAUGCAG
RNAcentral lists this long non-coding RNA (1417 nucleotides) under Capra hircus (goat). RNAcentral's name for it is "lncRNA (ENSCHIG00010019272.1)". Lineage: Eukaryota; Metazoa; Chordata; Mammalia; Artiodactyla; Bovidae. The record is from RNAcentral.